Molecule: ribosomal RNA, 476 nt
Filed under: uncultured bacterium
Lineage: Bacteria
Description: bacterial SSU rRNA
Rfam family: Bacterial small subunit ribosomal RNA
Source: RNAcentral
ACGUCCUACGGGAGGCAGCAGUGGGGAAUGAUUGCACAAUGGGGAAACCCUGAUGCAGCCAUGCCGCGUGUGUGAAGAAGGCCUUCGGGUUGUAAAGCACUUUCAGUAGGGAGGAAGGUAGUGUAGUUAACACCUGCACUUAUUUGACGUUACCUACAGAAGAAGCACCGGCUAACUCCGUGCCAGCAGCCGCGGUAAUACGGAGGGUGCGAGCGUUAAUCGGAAUUACUGGGCGUAAAGCGCAUGCAGGCGGCCUGUUAAGUCAGAUGUGAAAGCCCGGGGCUUAACCUCGGAAUUGCAUUUGAAACUGGCAGGCUAGAGUCUUGUAGAGGGGGGUAGAAUUUCAGGUGUAGCGGUGAAAUGCGUAGAGAUCUGAAGGAAUACCGGUGGCGAAGGCGGCCCCCUGGACAGAUACUGACACUCAGAUGCGAAAGCGUGGGGAGCAAACAGGAUUAGAUACCCUGGUAGGAUAGCGU